Gossypium raimondii (Peruvian cotton) is the source of this 1252-nucleotide RNA transcript. It is a transcript of the gene named cullin-1-like, with no coding region annotated. Lineage: Eukaryota; Viridiplantae; Streptophyta; Magnoliopsida; Malvales; Malvaceae. The record is from RefSeq and is a predicted model, not a curated record. The transcript is spliced from 7 exons.
UUUUGAAAUUCCUUUUGUGCGUUCUCUUUGUCAAAAAAGAACAAAAUCUAAGCGUUUCUCCUCAACCGUGUAGAUAGCUAAAACCCCUUUCUUUUCAGUUCCCAUUUAAACCCUAAAUUCCUAAUAGCAAAAUCUAAGCAACAAAGCAAUGGCAGAGGGGGAAGGAGAAGAAAAGAAGAAAUUUUCAAUCUGGGAUUUGCCAGAUGUGCCAAUGGGUCAACUUCCGCCGCAUCUUGAACUCCAACGAAGUCGUGUUUCAUGCAAUAAGGACGCCCCUAUCCAUACUGAGAGUAUUCAAUAUUCUGGCGCUUAUGCAUCGAUGGGAAUUGAUAAUAGUUCAUGACUUGACCGAUUCUCUAACAACUUUAGAGUUGAAGUGGUUCGACUCAAUGAAGAUGACAUGGAGUUUGAUAUGAUCGGGUCUUACAUGGUUAACUGGUCUCCAAAGUUACAGACUGCUGUUUCUGACUUGACGGAGAAAGCAUUUCUCAAACACCCCAAGGUGUUUUUAAGUGGUCCAAAACUUGUAGGAUAUGAGUGAAAGAGUGAGGCAAAAAUGUUCACAUAGUGAGGAAAAAUAUCAGACAAACAUUAGUUUGGCGACACUCGAUAGUGGAUGUUUGAAUUCAGCUACAGUUUGUGGAGUUGAUUGGACAACCUUGCCUGAUGAUACAGUUAUUCAACUCUUCUCUUAUUUGAAUUAUUGAGAUCGAGCUAGUUUGGCAUCAACUUGUCGAACAUUUAGGCUCUUAGGUUCUUUGCCCUGUUUAUGGGGGUCACUGGACCUCCGAUCUUACAAAUUUGAUACUGUAGCUACAGUCUCACUCUCCUUGCGAUGCAAGAAUCUCCAGAGACUUAAAUUUCCUGCAGCAGGCUCAGCAGAUGCAAUAGUUAGUCUUCAAGCAAGGAACUUCGAGAAAUAAGUGGUAUAUCAGGAAGUGCAUGAAAAAGUCAGAGAUGCCGUAAUUGCCCUUAUUGAUAAAGAACGUGAGGGAGAACAGAUAGACCGAGCAUUAUUGAAGAAUGUCUUGGGUAUUUUUGUUGAGAUUGGCAUGGGACAAAUGGAUCGUUAUGAGGAUGAUUUUGAAGAAGCCAUGCUUCAGGAUACUUUAUUACCAAGAUUUCCUUGAUUAAGUAAAUGUAUUAUAUCUUUUAUUACCAAGAUUUACUUGAUUAAGAAAAUGCAUUGUAUAUUUUAUUACCUUGCAUAUGUAUUAUUUAUUUUAGUUUUGAUUCUAAAUUUUUAUUUUUA